UUUUUUCAAAACGUACAAUUGAAUCCAUGGCAUCUUCUUCUUCUUCUUUUGCGAGUGAUUCACAAAAUUAUCCUCUAUGGAAGUAUGAUGUCUUUCUAAGUUUUAGAGGUAAGGAUACCCGUAAAACAUUUACGAGUCACUUGUACGAAGGCCUGAGAAACAGGGGAAUAUUCACCUUUCAAGAUGAUAAACGGCUAGAGCAAGGCGAUUCCAUCUCACAAGAACUCUUGAAAGCUAUCGAAGAGUCUCAAGUUGCACUCAUCGUUUUCUGAAGGAACUAUGCUACGUCGAGGUGGUGCUUGAAUGAACUAGUGAAGAUCAUGGAAUGCAAGGAGGAAGAAAGUAGACAAACAGUCAUACCGAUCUUCUAUGAUGUGGAUCCAUCACAUGUUCAAACCAAAGUGAGAGCUUUGCAGUAGCAUUGUAACAACUAGAAACAGACAAUUGAUAGAGAAGGAUGCUGCAAUAUACAAAGUGCCUACACUACCUGACCAUCAUGCUAUGCAAUUGUUCAAUAAGCAUGCUUUUAGAAAAGAAGUUCCAAAUGAGUGUUUUAAGAAGUUAUCGUUGGAGGUAGUAAAUCAGGCUAAAGGCCUUCCUUUAGCCCUCAAGGUGUGGGGUUCUUUGCUGCACAAGAAAGGCCUAACUCAAUGGACAAAAACUGUAGACCAAAUAAAGAAAAAGUCUAAUUCAGAAAUUGUUGAAAAACUCAAAAUAAGUUAUGAUGGGUUGGAGCCCCAAAGAGCAAAAGAUAUUUCUAGAUAUCGCAUGUUUCUUCCGUGCGUAUGAAAGAAAACAAGUCAUGAAAAUUGUUGAUAGCCGUGAUUUUGGAGCUGAAUACGGAUUAGAUGUUCUAAUUGAAAAAUCCCUUGUGUUCAUCUCUAAAUAUGACAGAAUUGAAAUGCAUGACUUGAUUGAAGAUAUGGGCAAAUACAUAGUGAAAAUGCAAACAAAUUCUGGAAAACCUACCAGAGUAUGGAAUGUUGAAGAUUUCGAAGAUGUUAUGAUGGACAAUAUGGGGCCUUAUCCAACCAUCCAGAAUGUCCUGCAGAAUCUGCUAUGCAUUUUUUCUUGAUACCUCUUGCUGGCUUAUGGGAUACAUCCAAGGCAAAUGGAAGAACACUGAAUGACUAUGGGCACAUUAGGUUAUAUACCCCUGGAGAAAGGAAUGAGCUUGGAUAAAGAUGAACCUAAGAUUGAGGUCAGUUGCUCAUCUUCUCAGAAACAAUGAUGAACCAACACCAAGAUGAAGCCCGUCUAUUCAGAAACUUUGCAGCUCUUUCCCACAAGCCCAGGAUAUUAGCUUAAAUAUAGGCCUGUGUAGCUGCUGAGGAGUUUAUGCGGCAGUUGCCGUAGUUAACUAAGCAGGAGCAAGAGACUGAAGAUGUUGACAAAGUGAGCACUCCAGAGAUAAUUUAUAUAACUAAACUUGAAUAGCCAUCUCAUCCAAAAGAACCUACUCUCGUAUGCUAUCCAUCAGAAACUGAUGUUCAUCAUUUUCCUUGCAAAACAACAUUUUAUGAGAUAAACAAGUUGGAAAGAACAGAAAUAAAUGUAUUUUUUAACAUUAAAGUGACAGCUUGUGGAGUAUACUGUGUCAUUUUUUUGAGAAAAAAGUAUACUGUGUCAUCUUGCAAUUGCAUCAUAUCUUGGUGCUCCGUCAUAAUUCAUUUAGUGCAAGCCAAUAUGCUGUCUUCUUGAGUACUAAGUUCAGAUUUUGACUUUGUUGUAUGAUUUUCAUGUGAAAAGAUGUAUCAGAGAUAUACGGAUUUCACUUAGUUCAUAGAGUAAAGGCAAAGGGUUGUUAUUCUGUAAGGUAUUCACUGAUCUAGGGGUUUAAAAUUUAUUAAUAUGUCAUUUUAAUGCAUCCGUGAGACAAUUGAGUACAUACACGGUGAAUUGCCUCACAUCUUGCGAGUUGCAUCAUAUCUUGGUGCUCCAUCUGUAUUCAUUUUCUCUGCAAGUCAUUAUUCGCCUUUUUUAGUACCAAGUUUCAGAGUUUGAGUUUGCUGUAUGAUAUCUUUUUUAUCGUACUGUCUGUUGUUUCUUGUCGAAAUUGAACUUGAUAAAGUAAUACUAACAUCUAUAUCUCGAUUACUCUAAGUUUUUUUAACAAGUUCUAGUUUUUUUGGAUUUGGAUUAUUUUUGCUGUUCACAAUGGGAACAUGGUAUUUGAGUGCAAAAGUGCAUACGAACGGCACAUAUUUCCUCUGUUUGUACAUAACUAGAUUCUUGUGGUGAGAGAGAUUCUCGAAAGAACUUUGGAAUCUAUGAAUGUGCGCGAAGCAAGAAAGUUGUGCCAAAACAGGUGAAGGAAAGAAGUCAUGGAACCAUCAGUAAGUCGCCUCACAUCAGAAAGCACAAACAGUCCAAAGGGGAACUCUUUCCAGGAAUAUUCGAAUGUAGCUCUAGUGGUAAGCUACUGUUCUUCCAUUGGGAUGUAGACUCUCAAAUACUUUCUCUGCCACUACCAAGUUCUACUGAAGAAGUGUUAGUUAUCUACUGCAAAUCUACACGGUAGAAGUAGUUUGUAUGAAUACACUGCGGAUGAUCAAAUCUAGCACGCGGAUUAAGUAGUUGAGAGCAACUACAUCUUUUAUUUCCAUCCAAUGUCUGGUACCCAUCAUAGGGUUUCCAGUCAAUGUAGUUUAAAUGCCAGCUUGUUGGAACCGAUUGACUUAAGCCAGUUAAAAGUAUCUUGACAACCCCUUGUUAUCCAUCAGAUGUUGUGCUUUAGGAAGUUGUGAAAAGGGAAAAUGAACAAAUGA
Molecule: RNA transcript, 2768 nt
Organism: Solanum tuberosum (potato)
Lineage: Eukaryota; Viridiplantae; Streptophyta; Magnoliopsida; Solanales; Solanaceae
Gene name: TMV resistance protein N-like
Exons: 4
Source: RefSeq, a predicted model, not a curated record